GAACAACGAGUAUUCGACGAAGAUGAAGGGCGUACUUGUCGUGGUCGCAGUAGCGACGUUGAUACUCUUUGGGAUGUUUAUUCAAGAUAGCCAAGCGUUCGUAAAUGGACCUCUUUUACCAGCAACGGGCAAGAGAUCGAUAAGAAGAAAUAAUCCAUCGGCUUACAAACACAAGAAAACUGAAGAACUUGAUCCUCAAGAUGUUUGUGAAUUAGCAAGAAUAUUUGGAUGCAAUAAUAAGUGAUAUCAUUCCACAUAAGAUGUAUUGUACAAAUGGUGUUAUGGACAUGGUAUAGUCCUUGUACAAGCUCUGUUAUAGAUUUUACAUGUCUUUAGAGAAUUAUUGAAUAAAUCUAUUUGUGCUUACGAA
Exaiptasia diaphana is the source of this 370-nucleotide long non-coding RNA. RefSeq lists it as uncharacterized. The record is from RefSeq and is a predicted model, not a curated record. Lineage: Eukaryota; Metazoa; Cnidaria; Anthozoa; Actiniaria; Aiptasiidae. The transcript has 2 exons.